AGAAAGACCUCAGGUGGAAUUCUGUCCCGGAAACAGAUCCUUCCUCUUACUGGAACCCGCCGGCUAGAUGCCAAGUUUUUUACUUUUUACAACAUGCCCAUCCUUUUACUUGAACUCACCGAGGACGCGAAUAAAACAAAGAGGAUUCAAUAUAAGCCUCAGUGUGCGUUAUAAUAAGCGCUUAUUACUGAGAGAGAUCAGAUUCUCAAGGCUGAAUUGAUGGAGAAACCACAGCAGCACUCCCAGCUCCUGUCCAGGUUUGUCCCCACCAAGCAGAAGGAUGUGCUCCGCUUCACGAUCGAUGCCUUCCUCUUCCAGAAGAAGCUGUCCAGGAAGCAUGAAGUGACUGAGCUGUACAUGCACUGUGUCAUGUCUCUGGCUCCUGCUAAAGCAACACCAGGGACCAAGUCCUGCACCUACAACAGGGAGGCUAAGAGGUGGGAGGAGCUGUAUGGUGACCAUGAGGUCUGUACCUGCUGUGAGUCCAGGUGUACUUUCCAACAGAAUGAAGGUACCAGGAGCCUGGUGACCAGCAGUCGGGUGUCUGUGGCACCAGUAGAGGGUCCUCUGGGUGUGGAAGGUGACUGGACUGAGGAUGAGGAGGGAGACCCUCAGGGCUCCAGUGAAGAUGCUGAGAGCACCAGUGA
RNAcentral lists this long non-coding RNA (647 nucleotides) under Lepisosteus oculatus (spotted gar). Its description in RNAcentral is "lncRNA (ENSLOCG00000021712.1)". The record is from RNAcentral. Lineage: Eukaryota; Metazoa; Chordata; Actinopteri; Semionotiformes; Lepisosteidae.